GUUAACUAAUUACAACUCACGUAUGAAAGUUUUAUAUUUUUUAAUUGAUAAAAGAACAAACAUGUUUUUCCGUCAAACGUAGUUGUAUUUGUUAUUUGUUAUGACAGUAAGACAAAACAGACAAUAGAAGACUGAAGUUCAACCAGGCUACAGAAAACAUUAUAUGUUUGUUAUUAUAAAAUAUCACAAAUUCAAAAGUUUAAUUUUUUACAUGAUUACUGACUACAACAUUCAACAAUAAGUUGUCAGUUCUACUAUCACUUAACUACUUAUACUACGGUGGCGUUUAUAACUCAUUGCCAGAUGAUAUGCUGUAUUGCAUGAUCAUUUACUUGAAUUUUUUUUUUGCUGUCGGUAAGUGAAUAGUUUCAAACAGGUAAGUAUAAUUUACAAUUAUAUCGCAAUUUAUAACAUGACGAUAGUCUUUGAAACUUGAAUAAUGUACUUAAUUAUGCAGGUUCCAAUAAGCGGAAUGAUCUAAUUGCGUAACGAUAUUCCAAGUUAUCCAAAUAUUGUAUAUGUUUAGUAUGUCCGUAUUUCUGAAAAAAAGGUGACGAUAUGUCUAAAUUGUAACAAUAUUUUUUUAUCUUGUGUCUUCUUUCUCAUUAUUCCUUUCAUGUUAUAUAUCUAUAUGUCCAAGCAAUGUAUCAAUUCCCGAUAAGUACAUACUUUGCUGUAAACCAGAAUUCCUGGUUAUUUGAUUAAUCGUCGCCAUUCAAAGUUGUUUCCGACUAAUAAUAAAUGUAUGACGUCUGUUUUUAAAGCAUAGUUUUAGAAUUACAAAAAAAAAGCAUGUGUUGUCCUUUGUGUAAUUUAAUAUAUAUAUGUAUCAUACUAUUACUAUUUCAUAUAUAUGUAUUAUUUAACUUUAGUCGGUAACUGUCAAGUACCAACUCGAAAACUAAAACUAACAACUUUGAAUAUUUUUUUCUCAAAUGAAUCAUAUGACAAAUGGCAGUCUGCUUAUAAAAGUAAAAAAAGGUGAUAGUUGCAAUGUUUGAAAAUUGUUAUAAAGAUGCAUAAAUAACACUGUUACUUUGCUUAUAAAAAAAUCAAAUAAACUUUGAUAAAUUAUGUGUUUAGUCAUUAAUCUAUUAGCAAAGACGAUAAACAUUACAAAAUGUGAGAGAAUAGCCAAUGAGACAGCUACCCAAUAUAGAGUUAAAUAUGUUGAUGGUAGUUACAAUAAGUCACAUUACGGCGAUAUAGAGUAAAUUAUGUUGAUGGUAGUUACAAUAAGUCACAUUACGGACAAUAUAGAGUAAAUUAUGUUGAUGGUAGUUACAAUAAGUCACAUUACGGGCUUUUCCAAUUGUGAGAAAUACAAUUAUCAUAUAUAAAGUAAGCUAAAAGAUCCCAAAAUGACUAUAUGUGAACCAUUUCAAACUACAGAAUUUACACUGUUAGGUCCGAUAGGUAAAUAAAGUUUGACAACAGUCCGACGAUGAUAUAAAAUGUUUUCAUUGUAGCUGUACCUGUGGAGGAUGGAUGAAUUUCAUAAGACAGAUGUGACAGCUAGUAACAAACAUUAGUGAAACACAGAAAUGAUGGAAAACACUUCCUUCCGAUGCAAAAACAAUAUUAAACAAUCUUGAAUAUAAUGUUUCCUUGUUUUAUUUGCAUGCACGUUUUAUGUUUAAAAUAUAUAUGAUUCUGAUACAUCAAAAUAGAAACUUUACAAUUGUUUAAUCUGUUUUAACCACAAAAGAAUUAUGUCGUACGAUUUGCAUCACAGGAAUCAUUCAUUCCUUGCUAUUUUCUGAUGUCAGAUAAUUAUUAAAUGCUCUCUCGUGACUGAGUAUUAUAUCAAAUUCAAAAUAAUUAGCUAUACUUCUUACCAAUCAAGUGUUAUAUAACUACAAUGUAUAUCCUAGUGUCCGCUACUCAUUCAAAUUGAUUUCACUUUUCUAUUUAUCCUACAAAUAAAGUUAUUAUAGAACUUAACAUAUUGAAAAGCAUUAUAAACUGUCGGAAUAGUCCUUAGGCAAUUGAUUCGAAACAAAUCAAAACUGUAGACUUUUCUAGUACUUCAAGUUAUUAUUCAAAUUGCAUACAAUAUGUCUAUAACCCUACAAUGUAUUUCUUUAUGUGAAUUCAAUUAUCAUACAUAUAUUUGAUUUAUACGUUGUUUCUGCCAUUAAACUUAUAAACAUGUAGAUUGAAAUUGUAUUAUAUUUAACGCGCGAGACUACUGUACAUAUUUCUGUAAUAUGUAUAUGAAUGUUAUUUCUCUUGUUUUAUUAAAUGUUAUGAUUAUGUUUAAAUGUGUAGUCUUUAGAUGAUAUUAAAUUGGCAAAUGGUUUGAUUAGAAUGUGUUUUACCUGUUUCGCCCACGUCGUCAUGCCUUUGAUAGAAAAAAACCGUCAAAGUUUUCACGGCUUCGUUGAAAGGGGAUUAUUCCAUAUUUGGUGUGCAGCUUGAUAAUGUUGAGUUGUGGCGACUUUCUGUUUGUCAUUAGUUUAAAAUACUACAACUCUGAUUGUACAAGGAAAAUGUUCGUAAAAAUUUACUUGGCUUGAUUGAAAGGAAUGAUUAGUUAUGUUUCAGUAUACAUGUUGUUAUGAUAUUGUUAUUAUCAUGUUUAUUUAUCUUGGCCUAAUUUGUUUUGUGUGGCCUUAUAAUAUGUAUAAUAUGUUUAUAUCAUAUUUAUAGUUGUUUACAAAAUAAUGUUAUAAUUGUGCAGUUUAGAACGUUGGAACGAUUAGAACUUUCUAUUUGACUGACAUAAUAAUUCUGAAAUGAUCAUAAUAUACGAUGUGUAAUUGAAACUUCUACCGUAUUCUAGACGUUUCCGUACUAAGGUUUUCUAUGAGUUUCCGUUCUACAGUGUUCUAGAAGUUUCCGUGACAACUACAUAUAGAGACACCGAAAUUAGACUUUUUUAGUCAUUUAUUUACUUUGAUUCACAGAAGUUCUCUUACGUUGUUGUAUUGACACUUGAUGUACGUUAACUACAUCAUACUAGAUUGGACAUAUUCCGUACAGUUAAGAGAAGAAUUCCGGAUAAAGAAAAGACAAAGGAUCGGACAUAUGAUUUAACAGUUAAUUUAACAUUUCAAUUUGUAUAAUAUUUCUUGUAAACCUGUGUAUAAUAAAUCUUGUUUAAUUUUA
Long non-coding RNA from Mytilus californianus (California mussel), 3111 nucleotides. RefSeq lists it as uncharacterized. The transcript has 2 exons. The record is from RefSeq and is a predicted model, not a curated record. NCBI's taxonomy places the organism in Eukaryota, Metazoa, Mollusca, Bivalvia, Mytilida, Mytilidae.